Molecule: long non-coding RNA, 3774 nt
Organism: Triticum dicoccoides
Lineage: Eukaryota; Viridiplantae; Streptophyta; Magnoliopsida; Poales; Poaceae
Exons: 7
Source: RefSeq, a predicted model, not a curated record
UCCUCCUUUCCCCUUUCACACCUCCCCUCAUCUCUCCCUCGUCAACACAGCCGUGACUCCGUCCUCCCUUCCUCUUCACCAUGGAAAACCACCUCCCAGGCGUCGCCAGCAGGAGAGGAGCCGGCUCCGCUCUCCUACGCACCCACACAAACAUCGUCGCCUUGGGUGAGGAGUUCGUGGGAGGAGAAGCCGAGAAGGCCAGGGGGUGGGAGGAGGAGGAAGAGGAGGAGGAGGAGUUAGUUCAGCAGAUCAGCAGCGGCGGUGCCGGGAGAGGAAGGGCCAUGGCGGCGGCGGCUUUCGGACUACGCAUUGAGCGGUGUCUCUCCGUGCCGCCGGUACGGCAAGCCCAUGGAGAAGCGCGGUCACCCCGGUACAUGGCCGUCUUCCAUCUCCAUCUGCUGCUCCCCACUCCUGCCGUCCCAUGGCCUGCGUCGCCGCUGCUUGGCUGUUCCCACCUGCUGAUACUACUCGGAUCCCUUGGCUAUUCAGGUGAUUUGAGUCAUCCCUACCUUGUGCAUGUUGUGUUUGAUAAAAUGUCCAUGAGCUAAUGGGUUGUUGAUCCUGUGUUUCUUGUCCUCUUCUCCUUGAUUACCACUUCCUGUCUUCACAUCUUUGCAAAGUUUCCUGAAUGGACUCAAGAGUUAAGACUGUUGAGUUAGUAAUCAAUCUCAUGCAGGCAUCUUUCCAUCGGGAGAUCCGUGAAUAAAAGCGGCCUUUCUGGGAUUGUCAAGGUAUUCACUAAUAGAGAGUUGCAUCCAAAAAUAAAGUAGCUAAAGCUUUUUCGAAAAUCAGGGGCCUCCCCCCGGCUCCAUUUUUUAAUGAAGAAAGAGAAGCCAUACGAGUACCACAACAACGAAAGCUAAAACAGACUCUGAACCUAAACUGGGGGUAAAACAGUUCACUGCACGCCUUAUUACAGACCAAAAAACCAGAAUCUCAGUGGCUAAAGCUUCGGUUCGCUAAAAAUUUACAUGGUUGAUUAACAGCAGCUUACCUUAACAGGCGGUGUUCAAACCUGGUGGUAAAGACCUACAAAAAGUUUGAGGUGGAAAUUUACGUCCUUGCCAAGGAUGAAGGUGGUCGCCACACUGCCUUCUUCUCAAAUUACAACCCAUAGUUCUACUUCAGGACAGCUGACAUAUGUGGGAAAAUUGAGUUUCCUCCGGACGUGAAGAUUGUUAUGCCUGGUGACAACGGCUAAGAUUUGCGCUGAGGGAAGGAGGGAGGACCGUCGGCUCCGGAGUCAUUGCCGAAGUCAUGAGCUAAUAACAAAUGUUCCAGACCUUUCUCUUUUUACUUCUCAGUUAAUUCUAUGAUUUUUUUCUAAGGAUUACAAUGCUGCGAAUCAAAUGUCCACCGUAGGAAAAACAAAUUAAGGUUCUAAAUCCUACAAUUUUUUAAAAUAAAAUUUCUACGAAUCAAAGGAGCCGGUAGAGUAGAAGCAUGCAACACACUAGCUACUUUUGCGUUUGAAGUAUGAGUACGGACAGAAGCAUCCCUUCGACUUAUUAGUGCGUCUCCAACGUCUUGCCGUAAAACGUCCAGGCCGACGCGUUCGGACGCACUUUGCCAUCCAACGUGGACCGUAUUUCGUUCGUUUUCCCACAAACUGGAAGCAAACCUGGGGAGACUGUGUGGGAGUCUAGAUCUCAUUGAAUCAAUAUUUAAGUAGCAGUAAGUAAUGACUACAAACACUCCAUGCAUCUACAGAUCGCUUGCGUCUCUCGCUCUGAAUCUAAUCUUCAGAUUUCUGUUGUCCACCACAAAAUAACUUGAUUAAAGAUACUAUGGGAUCUUGGAGACCUCAGAUGUAGGUGAGGAUGAGAUGCCAGAUAUGAAAUUAUGAAGGAUGAGACAUGUCUGAUGAAGAAGGCUCGGCUAGGUAUAUUAGAACAAUCCAUGUUUUAUUCUUGGCGCUACACAAGUGCAUCUCCUCUUUUACUGUAAUAGCAUGAUGCGCUAAUUUUCUUACGAGUCUGAUAAAUAUGUAUAAUUAUAUGAUUAUUGAAGCCCACAUAUAUUUUUAGGCAAUGCAGUAUGUGGUAUUGUUUUUCAUUUCUGUUUGACAAUAGUAAAAAGAAAAUCUGGUCCAAAAGUAUGUGGUAUACAGUUUAAAAAAUGGUCUGGUGGUCAGGAGUCAUGUAUGAUAUAGUUAUCAUUUCGAUGCUUAAAGCUGGUCAUUUUGUAGGAAUAUGCCUGGGUUUUUGUCAAAUGCAAGCUGCACUUUAUAUUUUUUCAAAUGGAUUUUCUUAUCAAAUAAUUGUCUCUUACGUGGAUAUACUUUGUGUUAAACCCAAGAAAUAAAAGGUGAAUUAUCCAGGAUUAUGAUCUGGUAUUACUUUGAACAUUUUGUGUUUCAUGGUAUCCUAAAAAUACGGUCUGCUUUUUAGUAUGUUAGUUGUUUAUUAGACUUCCUUCUGGUUGUUGAAAUUUAAAUGUUUGCCGUGGAAUAGGAAAUUUGAGUACAGUAGCCGUUAGCCUGAAAAUAAUAUAGUGAGCCAUAGAGAAGAUUGUUCUCUAAUUGACUGGUAUUUAUCGUGCUGAUCUCUUUUUCUCGCACCUACAAUUGUAAAAAUGCCCCUGCUGAAUAUCUUGAACGGUCCUAGAACCUUCUCACUUACAGGUCUAGUGAUCCUUGCGAACUUCUUUCCAACAUUGAAGCACAAAUUGCAAAAGCAAACGAUGAAUCCAUAACAAAGAAAGAUAUCAUGAAGAGAGUAGACAAAUGGCUAUUGGCCUGUGAUGAAGAGACUUGGCUUGAGGAGUAUAAUCAAUCCUGUUUUUUUCAAUGAAAAUAUGCUAGCACAUGGUCCAUCAGUUUAAUAUGAUUUCUCCCUUUUUCUUCUCUAUGUUGGCAUGCUUGUACUGAUAUUCAAUUUGGCUGUCAAGCUAUGAUUUAGGUAAUGUCCUCUUUAAUGUUUGCAUAUGCCCUACUGCAGGAUGAUAACAGGUACAGGCAGGGGUGCCCAUUUGAACCUCAAGCAUGCAGAGAAAGUAGGGGUACUUGUUCAAAAGAUUCCAACUAUGAUUGACAACUUGAUAGACAAGACAUUUGCCUGGGAGGAUGAAAGCAAUACACCAUUUCUUUAUGACGUGGUUCACAUGGUUGCCAUUUUGGAAGAGCAAAAACUCAGGAGAGUACAGAAAGAGGAAGAUAAGCGACGAUACCGGAUAUGAAUUCCACAUCCUCUGGCACUACACUCACAACAGAAGUCAUCAGUCUUGUUCGCUGACUCUUAACAGAGGACUAGAAGAACCUGUACAAUCUAUUGCGUAAAGAGAAUGAGAUGAUAUUUGGGUCCAAGUCUGUUCCGAGGAAGAUAAGCAGUUUUAACAGGAGGACCAGUGGCCAUCACCCAAAUGGGAACGAGGCUGGUUUCAUGACUCCGAUGCCCACACCCGAGCUUUUGACACCACGCUCGUACUCUGGAUGGUACAACAAUUACUUCAAGGAGAACCGGCGGAUGACGGCGGCACCACUCAACUUCUCAGCGGCUUCCAAGGAUGACAUGUUAUCCUUUGCCUCCAUGAGCGGCUCGGAGCCUGAUUCUCCAGUGGUUUUGCACUGAGUAUGAUAUUGCCCAACAUUUUGUCAUCCUCUGGUUCUUUUGUCAACGUAUUUUUUUGAUUUUCUGCCGCACAUGUGCCCAUGUUGUCACUGACAAUCCACUCCCGUAUGAUGCUCUACUUUUGAAACCUGCCAUCAGUUCCUUUUGAUUUACUAUUGUCUUUUGUUAUCACUGAUCUUAGUGGCAUCUAUGUUGUCACUGUUUA